Molecule: long non-coding RNA, 251 nt
Filed under: Musa acuminata (dwarf banana)
Lineage: Eukaryota; Viridiplantae; Streptophyta; Magnoliopsida; Zingiberales; Musaceae
Description: long non-coding RNA (MACU_LNC005267)
Source: RNAcentral
AAGUUCCAACUUCCCACGUAUAUAUUAAAAAGAAAAGAUUGCCAAUUCCAACGACCGUCCAUGGCUGGAGUUCACGGGAAACCAAUCGAUUGCUUCAACUCCUCCGCAUUCCCCCCUUGGUUGGACGGUCGAAUCGGCCAAAGAGACAAAGAAACAAACGGGUGGUGUGGGUCUAUCUCUCGGUCUCUUUCUUCAUCACUUCGCUUGUUGGUCGGAGGACAGAUUGACGCCAAUUACACUCCACUACACUU